UAACUAAAAACUUACAUACCGCCGUUACAAGAAAUCAUCUAAAAUAUGCACUCAAAAAUAUAAAUAUAAAAAAAUCAGGUCAAGGUGUAGUAAAUAAUUAAGAAUAAAUUAGUUAUAAAUUAAAAAUAUUAAUAGAAUUUAAGCUAAACGCAAAACCAUAAUUAAAAUUUAUAAUCAUAUUUUUAUUUAGCAUAAAUAAUAUAAAAUUAUCAUUAAUAUGCACACAUCGCCCGUCGC
RNAcentral lists this ribosomal RNA (237 nucleotides) under Systenita prasina. Its description in RNAcentral is "partial 12S ribosomal RNA". Lineage: Eukaryota; Metazoa; Arthropoda; Arachnida; Araneae; Pholcidae. The record is from RNAcentral.